UACGUAGGUUGCAAGCGUUGUCCGGAUUUACUGGGUGUAAAGGGCGUGUAGGCGGAGAUGCAAGUUGGGAGUGAAAUCCAUGGGCUCAACCCAUGAACUGCUCUCAAAACUGUAUCCCUUGAGUAUCGGAGAGGCAAGCGGAAUUCCUAGUGUAGCGGUGAAAUGCGUAGAUAUUAGGAGGAACACCAGUGGCGAAGGCGGCUUGCUGGACGACAACUGACGCUGAGGCGCGAAAGCGUGGGGAGCAAACAGG
RNAcentral lists this ribosomal RNA (253 nucleotides) under uncultured organism. RNAcentral's name for it is "partial 16S ribosomal RNA". It matches the Rfam family "Bacterial small subunit ribosomal RNA", at positions 524 to 776 of the family's 1533-position model. The record is from RNAcentral.